CCCUCUCUCUCUCUAUAUAUAUAUUCCUAUGGAUUGAUGGGCUUCAUACAGACUUGAACUCCAUACUUGGGUUUUAUUGUGAGGACAAUAACAGGAGCAUGGCGAUAACUGUCUGAAAUAGUGAAGCUAAACCUUGAAAUCAACAUGGCUAAUAUGAUUUUAGCUUCCAUCAUAGCAAAAGUUUGGCCUAUACAAUUCCUGGGCCCAGCAGCAAAAGGGAUGAAAUGCCUGCCAGGAGCAAAUGACUUGGAAGCAAACCUGUCAGGAUUGAACUCAUUUGCAUCUUUUCCCCAUAACUCUUCACUAUGAUGAAUUGCAAGAACAGGAAUCCAAAUUGAUAGCCCCUUUGGUAUGUGAAGAUCUCCUAGCUUAAAAUCUUCAAAAGCCAUUCUAGGAAGCAGUGUAGCUGGAGGAUACAGCCUUAGUGAUUCAUUUAUCACCAUAUUGAGCACGGUGAGUUUGGGAAGAUGAUCAACCGAGGGGGUUUCACCAUUGCAGACCUGCUUGACCUCAGCUCGAACCUUUUCUUGCCAAGAAGGAUUACUAGCAAGAAGCAUGAAUGUCCAAGUGAGCAAUAGAGCAGUAGUUUCAUGUCCAGCAAAGAAGAAAGUUUUGCAUUCAUCCAUUAUCAAUUGUAGGUUCAAACUGAAAGAUCCAUUUCCUUUCUUCUUCUGCAUCUCAUUCAGAAGCAUUCCUAACAAAUCAUUCCCAUAAGAACUGCUCCUACCGAUCUCCACACAAUCUUUUCGGCUUUGUAUGAUCUCCAUUAGUAGUCUUUCUACCUCCAUCUUCAACGAUUUUAUCUCUCUGUUGUAUUUACUAGGAAAGAACCGACUUCCAGGAAAGCACAGGUGCCUGCUUGCUUGAGCACAGAGACGUUGAAGAACAGUUAAGAGAUGGAAUAUUUGCUUCCCUUUCUCAUAGCUACAAUCGAAUUCGGUUCUCGAAAUUAUAUCAGCAGUCAGUCUAGUCAUGCAUUCACCAAUCUCAAACUCAUUUUGGCCUGAUUCUACGGCAUUUUCCAGUGAUCGGAGCAUCUUCUUAGUGCAUUCCACCAUGUGCACAGAGUAGCUUUUCAGUCUCUCUCCCAUGAAUGCCGGCGCAACGAUAUGUCGUUGAUGAUACCAGUUAUCCCCGUUUGCCAUUAACAAGCCACCCCCGAUAAAAUGUUUUGAUCCUUGCUGUUGUAGCCAGGAUUUACCAGCUUUAAUGCUGUACUUUGUCAGAAGUUCUUUGAUCAAUUCUGUCUCUGUUAAGCAUAUGCGUGGUUCAAUCCCAUUCCAAUAUAUAAAUCUUUUCCCAUAUUGUUUAGACCAGGCAUUGUAAUGUGGCAAGAGGCGAGGAACGAUGUCAUGAUGAAUAGAAUCCAUGUCUUUGGAAGUAGAGUGGGAGACGAAGGAGGUCACGUCUAAGAUGUUGCCUGUAAGUGGCCGGGGUUCAGGACCACGUACACCUUGCUUCUCCAUAAUCUUCUUGAUGCGUCUUGGAAUUAGGAAGUAACAUGAGAUGGUGUCAUAUGCAAUUUUGAAGAAAAAAGAGAAGAAUACAAACAAUAGACUUGUCAAUGCCAUCAUCACCAUCCCUCUCUCUACUCUCUAUACCAAUAGAAUAGGAAAGCUGGUUUUUAUGAUUACGGGAGAGGGAGAGAUGGCUAGUUUUUAUUAGUGAAAGGUGUGGGAGGGGUCAUCAAUUUAUAUACAUAAG
RNAcentral lists this unclassified non-coding RNA (1704 nucleotides) under Hevea brasiliensis (rubber tree). Lineage: Eukaryota; Viridiplantae; Streptophyta; Magnoliopsida; Malpighiales; Euphorbiaceae. The record is from RNAcentral.